Long non-coding RNA from Pygocentrus nattereri (red-bellied piranha), 560 nucleotides. RefSeq lists it as uncharacterized. The transcript is spliced from 3 exons. NCBI's taxonomy places the organism in Eukaryota, Metazoa, Chordata, Actinopteri, Characiformes, Serrasalmidae. The record is from RefSeq and is a predicted model, not a curated record.
UAUUGAGCUUUUCAGCAGUAAGAUUCCUUCUGCAUUAGCCAGCUGUCAAACCCAAAAAAAGAAACAACCAUGUAUCUGUAGUCAGACGUUCUUCUCUUCUUCAGAAAACAUCAUGGGAAGAGUGCAAGUGCUACUGGUGGGGGAAAGGCCACACUUUCUCCGUCUCCUUUUCAUGAGAGGAUGGCAUGUUUAAUUGGGGAACCCCUGUUAAGUGGCGUGGUGACUGAAAAGGAGGGCGAUACAGACUUGGCUGAUGAACCCAUCACUGGUGAACCAGAGAGGACUGUGGGAGUGGACAGCAGUCAUUCAGCUGAAGACUGCCAACCCGGCCCCAACGGUGUCUCCGGUGCCCCGGUUGCCUCCAGCGGUGUCUCCGGUGCCCCGGAUGCCUCCAGCGGUGCACCACGUGCUUUAAGCGGAGGUCGUGUUCUGACUGAGGCUGUUUUACAAACACAAAUAAACACAAUUACAGCAAUUGACAAUUUAACAAAUGAGCUUAAAGAGAUUAAGGGGAUACUGUCUGAAAUGUCAAGUACAUUAAAAGAACUUGUUAAAAAAUA